GAAUGAUUGGGCGUAAAGCGUCUGUAGGUGGCUUUUCAAGUCCGCUGUCAAAUCCCAGGGCUCAACCCUGGACAAGCGAUGGAAAAUACCAAGCUAGAGUACGGUAGGGGCAUAGGGAAUUUCCGGUGGACGGUGAAAUGCAUUGAGAUCGGAAAGAACACCAACAGCGAAAGCACUCUGGUGGGCCGACACUGACACUGAGAGACGAAAGCUAGGGGAGCAAAUGGGAUUAGAGACCCCAGUAGUCCUAGCCGUAAAUGAUGGAUACUAGGUGCUGUGCGACUCGACCCGUGCAGUGUUGUAGCUAACGCGUUAAGUAUCCCGCC
This 326-nucleotide non-coding RNA is filed under the name Triticum aestivum (bread wheat). Its description in RNAcentral is "Bacterial small subunit ribosomal RNA". It matches the Rfam family "Bacterial small subunit ribosomal RNA", at positions 548 to 873 of the family's 1533-position model. Lineage: Eukaryota; Viridiplantae; Streptophyta; Magnoliopsida; Poales; Poaceae. The record is from Rfam by way of RNAcentral.